Molecule: ribosomal RNA, 804 nt
Filed under: Acetobacter pasteurianus
Lineage: Bacteria; Pseudomonadati; Pseudomonadota; Alphaproteobacteria; Acetobacterales; Acetobacteraceae
Description: bacterial SSU rRNA
Rfam family: Bacterial small subunit ribosomal RNA
Source: RNAcentral
GGGAGUUUGAUUCAGGCUCAGAGCGAACGCUGGCGGCAUGCUUAACACAUGCAAGYYGCACGAAGGUUUCGGCCUUAGUGGCGGACGGGUGAGUAAMGCGUAGGUAUCUAUCCAUGGGUGGGGGAUAACACUGGGAAACUGGUSCUAAUACCSCAUGACACCUGAGGGUCAAAGGCGUAAGUCGCCUGUGGAGGAGCCUGCGUUUGAUUASCUAGUUGGUGGGGUAAAGGCCUACCAAGGCGAUGAUCAAUARSUGGUUUGAGAGGAUGAUCAGCCACAMUGGGRCUGAGACACGGCCCAGACUCCUACGGGAGGCAGCAGUGGGGAAUAUUGGACAAUGGGGGCAACCCUGAUCCAGCAAUGCCGCGUGUGYGAAGAAGGUYUUCGGAUUGUAAAGCACUUUCGACGGGGACGAUGAUGACGGUACCCGUAGAAGAAGCCCCGGCUAACUUCGUGCCAGCAGCCGCGGUAAUACGAAGGGGGCUAGCGUUGCUCGGAAUGACUGGGCGUAAAGGGCGUGUAGGCGGUUUGUACAGUCAGAUGUGAAAUCCCCGGGCUUAACCUGGGAGCUGCAUUUGAUACGUGCAGACUAGAGUGUGAGAGAGGGUUGUGGAAUUCCCAGUGUAGAGGUGAAAUUCGUAGAUAUUGGGAAGAACACCGGUGGCGAAGGCGGCAACCUGGCUCAUUACUGACGCUGAGGCGCGAAAGCGUGGGGAGCAAACAGGAUUAGAUACCCUGGUAGUCCACGCUGUAAACGAUGUGUGCUAGAUGUUGGGGUGACUUAGUCAUUCAGUGUCGCAGUUA